UUAUGACCGAGUUAAUAUCUGAAUAUUAUUCGGCUGCGUUAUAACUUUUAGUUAGUUAUGGCUGAGUUAUCUGAACUAUACGGCUGAGUUAUCUGAAUAUUUUACGGCUGAGUUAUAUAAAUAUUUUAUGACUGAGUUAUAAACGCUGGUUAGUUAUGGCUUAGUUGUUUUCAUAUU
This 177-nucleotide small RNA is filed under the name Arabidopsis thaliana (thale cress). RNAcentral describes it as "ATSL276660". Lineage: Eukaryota; Viridiplantae; Streptophyta; Magnoliopsida; Brassicales; Brassicaceae. The record is from RNAcentral.